This 195-nucleotide unclassified non-coding RNA is filed under the name uncultured fungus. Its description in RNAcentral is "sequence contains ITS1". The record is from RNAcentral. Lineage: Eukaryota; Fungi.
GUAUAUGUUUUAUAGGCACAACAUUCUAUUAACAUACAUUGGGGUAAAUGAAGCAACAUAGACCUGAAAGGUCUACAAAAAGUGCACAGGUGGAGAUAUAAAGAUGACAAGGCGUGCACAUGCUCCCGAGAGAACCAGCAACAACCCGUCAGGUUUAUUUCAAUAAUGAUCCUUCCGCAGGUUCACCUACGGAAA